CUAAUUCCGUAUUCCUCCUAAGGGAGAGGGGGGGCUCCGGCUCCCGCUAUGGGAUGAGCCUAUGUCGGAUUAGCUAGUUGGUGAGGUAACGGCUCACCAAGGCAACGAUCCGUAACUGGUCUGAGAGGAUGAUCAGCCACAUUGGGACUGAGACACGGCCCGAACUCCUACGGGAGGCAGCAGUGGGGAAUAUUGGACAAUGGGCGAAAGCCUGAUCCAGCCAUGCCGCGUGUGUGAAGAAGGCCCUCGGAUUGUAAAGCACUUUCAGCGAGGAAGAACGCCUAUCGCCUAAUACCCUCUAGGAAAGACAUCACUCACAGAAUAAGCACCGGCUAACUCCGUGCCAGCAGCCGCGGUAAUACGGAGGGUGCAAGCGUUAA
This 380-nucleotide ribosomal RNA is filed under the name Vreelandella aquamarina. RNAcentral describes it as "bacterial SSU rRNA". It matches the Rfam family "Bacterial small subunit ribosomal RNA", at positions 163 to 543 of the family's 1533-position model. The record is from RNAcentral. Lineage: Bacteria; Pseudomonadati; Pseudomonadota; Gammaproteobacteria; Oceanospirillales; Halomonadaceae.